AGGCAGGCGGAAUUCGUGGUGUAGCGGUGAAAUGCUUAGAUAUCACGAAGAACCCCGAUUGUGAAGGCAGCUUGCCAGGCCUGGACUGACGUUGAGGCUCGAAGGUGCGGGUAUCGAACAGGAUUAGAUACCCUGGUAGUCCGCACGGUAAACGAUGGAUACUCGCUGUCGGCGAUACACGGUCGGCGGCCAAGCGAAAGCGUUAAGUAUCCCACCUGGGGAGUACGCCGGCAACGGUGAAACUCAAAGGAAUUGACGGGGGCCCGCACAAGCGGAGGAACAUGUGGUUUAAUUCGAUGAUACGCGAGGAACCUUACCCGGGCUUGAACUGUGCCUGACAGCCUCAGAGAUGGGGCUUCCAGCAAUGGCAGGCAUGGAGGUGCUGCAUGGUUGUCGUCAGCUCGUGCCGUGAGGUGUCGGCUUAAGUGCCAUAACGAGCGCAACCCCUCCCGCCAGUUGCCAUCAGGUAAAGCUGGGCACUCUGGGGGCACUGCCACCGCAAGGUGUGAGGAAGGUGGGGAUGACGUCAAAUCAGCACGGCCCUUACGUCCGGGGCUACACACGUGUUACAAUGGGAGGUCACAGAGGGCUGCUACCCGGCGACGGGACGCCAAUCCCCAAACCCUCCCUCAGUACGGACUGGAGUCUGCAACCCGACUCCACGAAGCUGGAUUCGCUAGUAAUCGCGCAUCAGCCACGGCGCGGUGAAUACGUUCCCGGGCCUUGUACACACCGCCCGUCAAGCCAUGAAANNNNNNNGUGCCUGAAGUGCGUAACCGCAAGGGGCGCCCUAGGGUAAAGCCGGUGAUUGAGGGUAAGUCGUAACAAGGUAACCA
This 836-nucleotide ribosomal RNA is filed under the name uncultured bacterium. Its description in RNAcentral is "bacterial SSU rRNA". It matches the Rfam family "Bacterial small subunit ribosomal RNA", at positions 655 to 1502 of the family's 1533-position model. The record is from RNAcentral.